RNAcentral lists this ribosomal RNA (868 nucleotides) under uncultured bacterium. RNAcentral's name for it is "bacterial SSU rRNA". It matches the Rfam family "Bacterial small subunit ribosomal RNA", at positions 13 to 893 of the family's 1533-position model. The record is from RNAcentral.
UUGAUCCUGGCUCAGGACGAACGCUGGCGGCGUGCUUAACACAUGCAAGUCGAACGGUGACGAGCAGCUUGCUGCUCUGAUCAGUGGCGAACGGGUGAGUAACACGUGAGCAACCUACCCUUGACUCCGGGAUAACAGCUGGAAACAGCUGCUAAUACCGGAUACGACCUCGACCGACAUCUGUUGAGGUGGAAAGUUCUGGCGGUCAAGGAUGGGCUCGCGGCCUAUCAGCUAGUUGGUGAGGUAACGGCUCACCAAGGCUUCGACGGGUAGCCGGCCUGAGAGGGCGACCGGCCACACUGGGACUGAGAUACGGCCCAGACUCCUACGGGAGGCAGCAGUGGGGAAUAUUGCACAAUGGGCGAAAGCCUGAUGCAGCAACGCCGCGUGCGGGAUGACGGCCUUCGGGUUGUAAACCGCUUUCAGCUCCGACGAAGCGCAAGUGACGGUAGGAGCAGAAGAAGGACCGGCCAACUACGUGCCAGCAGCCGCGGUGAUACGUAGGGUCCGAGCGUUGUCCGGAAUUAUUGGGCGUAAAGGGCUUGUAGGCGGUUUGUCGCGUCGGAAGUGAAAACUCAGGGCUUAACCCUGAGCCUGCUUCCGAUACGGGCAAACUAGAGGAAUGCAGGGGAGAAUGGAAUUCCUGGUGGAGCGGUGGAAUGCGCAGAUAUCAGGAGGAACACCAGUGCGAAGGCGGUUCUCUGGGCAUUUCCUGACGCUGAGAAGCGAAAGCGUGGGGAGCAAACAGGCUUAGAUACCCUGGUAGUCCACGCCGUAAACGGUGGGCACUAGGUGUGGGACUCAUUCCACGAGUUCCGUGCCGUAGCUAACGCAUUAAGUGCCCCGCCUGGGGAGUACGGCCGCAAGG